AGACAGAGUGAACUGACUACCUUUUUAUUCAGCACACCUCCACUGGAGGUUCUGCACUCUAAGUCUUUGGAGCCUGGGUAUAAACUCUUUUCCUUUCAAGAUUCCAUACUGCAGGAGAAUUUUUAAGAUAUUUGACUGUCUUGUCUGAGCCACGUAGAGUAGAGGUGUGAUGCCACUCAGGGGGCUGGGGCAGUACACGGGUGUGAAGGUUCUGCAAGCCAAAAGCAGAGUGACCACCAUGUAACUAACAUUCCCCUGUAAUGUCUUAAGGAGAAUUUGACAUUGUAACUGUGGACCAAGCUGAAGGAGGAAAGAAAGCUCCCACCAACUGCUAAAGCCUCCCUUCACAUCUGUGAAAAGCGCACUGCAUGAGCAAAGCACUUAGUCGCAGCAGCCAUGUGUCGCUGCUGUGUCUCCCACACUGGUGGGGGCAUAAACCUUACCAAGCUCUGCAAAUAUAACAUGAAAAUUAAAAAUAAAAAGUUUUCUUAUUGCUUAUUUUUUA
This 505-nucleotide long non-coding RNA is filed under the name Mus pahari (shrew mouse). RNAcentral describes it as "lncRNA (MGP_PahariEiJ_G0003555.1)". The record is from RNAcentral. Lineage: Eukaryota; Metazoa; Chordata; Mammalia; Rodentia; Muridae.